AGCUUUGGCCAGUGGCAGUAUCGUAGCCAAUGAGGUUUAUCCGAGGUGCGAUUAUUGCUAAUUGAAAAAAAAAAAAAAUCAAUAAACAGCUGUGUGACCUCUGGCAAGUCACGAAGCCUCUCUGGGCUCCAUUUUUCUUG
Molecule: non-coding RNA, 140 nt
Organism: Mustela putorius furo (domestic ferret)
Lineage: Eukaryota; Metazoa; Chordata; Mammalia; Carnivora; Mustelidae
Source: Rfam